RNAcentral lists this ribosomal RNA (487 nucleotides) under uncultured bacterium. RNAcentral describes it as "partial 16S ribosomal RNA". It matches the Rfam family "Bacterial small subunit ribosomal RNA", at positions 355 to 833 of the family's 1533-position model. The record is from RNAcentral.
UAGGGAAUCUUCCACAAUGGACGCAAGUCUGAUGGAGCAACGCCGCGUGAGUGAAGAAGGUCUUCGGAUCGUAAAGCUCUGUUGUUGGUGAAGAAGGAUAGAGGCAGUAACUGGUCUUUAUUUGACGGUAAUCAACCAGAAAGUCACGGCUAACUACGUGCCAGCAGCCGCGGUAAUACGUAGGUGGCAAGCGUUGUCCGGAUUUAUUGGGCGUAAAGCGAGCGCAGGCGGAAUGAUAAGUCUGAUGUGAAAGCCCACGGCUCAACCGUGGAACCGCAUCGGAAACUGUCAUUCUUGAGUGCAGAAGAGGAGAGUGGAACUCCAUGUGUAGCGGUGGAAUGCGUAGAUAUAUGGAAGAACACCAGUGGCGAAGGCGGCUCUCUGGUCUGCAACUGACGCUGAGGCUCGAAAGCAUGGGUAGCGAACAGGAUUAGAUACCCUGGUAGUCCAUGCCGUAAACGAUGAGCAGCUAGGUGUUGGGGCACUU